RNAcentral lists this ribosomal RNA (1941 nucleotides) under Triticum aestivum (bread wheat). RNAcentral describes it as "partial small subunit ribosomal RNA". Lineage: Eukaryota; Viridiplantae; Streptophyta; Magnoliopsida; Poales; Poaceae. The record is from RNAcentral.
AUGGACCUCUGGCAUCACUCCAUCCAGCUCAGUGCGGGUCCUGGCUCGCCGGCUGCCGCGACGGCGGCACAGCAGGGCGAUGGCGGCACGAUGAGCCCCGAGCUGUACCUUGCCCUGUGCCGGGGGAGAAAGAAGGAAGCCAUGGCGCUGCUUCGGCAACAGCACGGUGGCGCCGCCGCCGCCGCUAAUCAGGUUGCCGGCAUACACCAGGUCAGCGCGGAGGGGAACAGCGUCCUUCAUCUGGCCGCGGAGCACGGGCACGACAAGCUCAUCCACGAUCUCGCGAGCUUCGGGGAUAGGAGCUUGCUCUCUUCCCGAAACUCGACUCUGGACACACCUCUGCACUGCGCGGCGAGGGCAGGGCAUGGCAAGGCCGUGUCCCUCCUCGUCCGGCUCUCAUGCGAGGGCGGAGACGACAGCACCUUGUGGUGCAAGAACGAGGCUGGGAACACGACCCUUCAUCUGGCGGCGAGGCUCGGCCAUGGCGCAGCAGUCGAGGCUAUGGUCUCCGCGGCGCCGGGGCUAGCCUCUGAGGUCAACAACGCCGGCGUGUUGGCGCUCUACUGGGCGGUGAUAAGCAGGUCGGCGCCAGCCGUCAGAUCGAUAACGACCAGGUGCGGCAACACGUCAGCUGCUGGCCUGAGCUCGCAGAAUGCUCUGCACGCCGCCGUCUUCCAGGGCUCAGAAAUGGUGAGGCUGCUAUUGGAGUGGAUGCCAUGUGGCCCAUCCCUGGUUAGCCAAGUCGACGACACCGGCAGCACUCCGCUUCAUUUUGCUUCGUCCACCGGUGACCACCUCUCCGUCGUAGGCGCCAUCCUACGCGCCGUGCCGCCGUGCGUGGUGCGCAUGCGGGACUCCGGCGGCCUCUCCGCUCUCCAUGUCGCGGCGGGGAUGGGCCACGACCACGUCGCCGAGGCGCUGAUCAAGGCCUGCCCCGACGCCGCCGAGCUCCGGGACGACCGCGGCGGGACCUUUCUGCACGCCGCGGCCAGGGGAGGCCACCUCAAGGUGGUGCGGCUGGCCAUCAAGAAACGGACGCUGCGCGGCCUCCUGAACGCGCAGGACGGGGACGGCAACACGCCUCUCCACCUGGCGGUGGCCGCGGGCGAGCCGGCCAUCGCGGAGGCCCUGAUGGGGAAGGGCAAAGUGCGGGACGACGUCAUGAACAACGAUGGCCAGAAGCCGCUGGACCUCGCCGUGAGAUCGACUAGCUUCUUCUCCAUGGUCAGCCUGGUGGCGACGCUGGCCGCGUUCGAAGCGCAGUCCCGUCCCGAGAGGCGGGACCGCGUGCAGCAGUGGGACGGCCGCGAGAUAACGAAGGCGAUAGAGAAGACGUCCGAUAGCCUUGCGGUGAUCGCCGUCCUCGUUGCCAGCGUCGCCUUCCCCGCCGCCAACAACCUGCCCGGGUCGUACGAGCAGAGCGGCGGCGGCACCGAUCCGGAGGGGAAGGAGGUGAUCAAAGGCAUGGCGGUCCUCCAGCACGAGGCCAUCUUCAAGUGCUUCCUCAUCCUGGACAGCUUCGCCCUGGUGACCUCCGUGCUCGCGGUGGUGCUGCUCCUCUACGGCAAGGCGUCGCGCUCGGCCGGGUCGUGGAAGACCUUCGGGGCGGCCCUGCACUGCCUGUGGCUUUCCAUGGUAAGCAUGGUCCUGGCGUUCUACGCGGCCCUGGCCGCUGUCACGAGCACGGCGGCGGUCCGCGGCAUCGCCUACAACAUCAUACGCAAUGCCCUUUUCGUGCUGUUAGCCGUGGUCUCGCACUUCGUCAGCCCUCGGGUGUCGUCCCGCACACUAUCCAAGUACCUGUGGCAUAGAGGAUGUCACAGUGUCAUCGUGCAGCAAUAUCCACUCGUCGGCGCUUUCUUGCGCAAUCUGAUUCUGUUCAGGGUUGCAAAUUAUGUUGUAGUGCUUGUGGGCGUUACCACGGUCUUAGCACUUCGGUGA